This 826-nucleotide ribosomal RNA is filed under the name uncultured bacterium. RNAcentral's name for it is "bacterial SSU rRNA". It matches the Rfam family "Bacterial small subunit ribosomal RNA", at positions 38 to 854 of the family's 1533-position model. The record is from RNAcentral.
AGCUACAGGCUUAACACAUGCAAGUCGAGGGGAAACGACAUCGAAAGCUUGCUUUUGAUGGGCGUCGACCGGCGCACGGGUGAGUAACGCGUAUCCAACCUGCCCACCACUUGGGGAUAACCUUGCGAAAGUAAGACUAAUACCCAAUGACGUCUCUAGAAGACAUCUGAAAGAGAUUAAAGAUUUAUCGGUGAUGGAUGGGGAUGCGUCUGAUUAGCUUGUUGGCGGGGUAACGGCCCACCAAGGCGACGAUCAGUAGGGGUUCUGAGAGGAAGGUCCCCCACAUUGGAACUGAGACACGGUCCAAACUCCUACGGGAGGCAGCAGUGAGGAAUAUUGGUCAAUGGACGAGAGUCUGAACCAGCCAAGUAGCGUGCAGGAUGACGGCCCUAUGGGUUGUAAACUGCUUUUAUAAGGGAAUAAAGUGAGUCUCGUGAGACUUUUUGCAUGUACCUUAUGAAUAAGGACCGGCUAAUUCCGUGCCAGCAGCCGCGGUAAUACGGAAGGUCCGGGCGUUAUCCGGAUUUAUUGGGUUUAAAGGGAGCGUAGGCCGGAGAUUAAGCGUGUUGUGAAAUGUAGACGCUCAACGUCUGCACUGCAGCGCGAACUGGUUUCCUUGAGUACGCACAAAGUGGGCGGAAUUCGUGGUGUAGCGGUGAAAUGCUUAGAUAUCACGAAGAACUCCGAUUGCGAAGGCAGCUCACUGGAGCGCAACUGACGCUGAAGCUCGAAAGUGCGGGUAUCGAACAGGAUUAGAUACCCUGGUAGUCCGCACGGUAAACGAUGGAUGCCCGCUGUUGGUCUGAAUAGGUCAGCGGCCAAGCGA